GUCCUGCGCGGUCGGCGUGCUUGUCGUUGUUGUCGUUGACGACAAAGACGAGGGUUUCGUCCCGCGCGAUCCGUUCGAGGCGCGUGCAGAUCCC
Non-coding RNA from Fonsecaea nubica, 94 nucleotides. Lineage: Eukaryota; Fungi; Ascomycota; Eurotiomycetes; Chaetothyriales; Herpotrichiellaceae. The record is from the annotation of a RefSeq genome assembly.